Molecule: non-coding RNA, 375 nt
Organism: Thunnus maccoyii (southern bluefin tuna)
Lineage: Eukaryota; Metazoa; Chordata; Actinopteri; Scombriformes; Scombridae
Source: the annotation of a RefSeq genome assembly
AUGACUUUGAUCUCCGUCCUCAUCUGGACUCUCCUCUGCUGCUGCUUCACAGAGUCCAGAGGCCAGGUCACAGUGACUCAGCCUGCAGCAGUGAGAUCUGCUCUGGGAGGCUCCACAACCAUCAGCUGUAGGGUCAGUCGUCAGGUUGCAGGCUGUAGCAGUGCUUACUGUUUACAGUGGUACCAACAAAAAGAUGGAGAAACUCCUAAACUCCUCAUUCGCUACACUAAUGAGCGAAUGUCAGGGACGCCAGAUCGUUUUUCAGGCAGUGGAUCAAACUCUGACUUCACUCUGACCAUCAGUGGAGUUCAGGCUGAAGAUGCAGCAGUUUAUUACUGUCAGAGUUAUCACAGUGGAUAUGUGUUCACACAGUGA